Molecule: ribosomal RNA, 578 nt
Filed under: Alexandrium sp. YOC98b
Lineage: Eukaryota; Dinophyceae; Gonyaulacales; Pyrocystaceae
Description: LSU rRNA
Rfam family: Eukaryotic large subunit ribosomal RNA
Source: RNAcentral
UAAGUGGUGGAAAUUAAACCAACUGGGAUCUCUUCAGUAAUUGCGCAUGAACCAGGAUAUGCUUAGCUUGACAAAUGGAGCUGCUGGCUCUGAAUUGUAUUGUGGGAAUGUAUUACCAACAGAGGUGCAGGUCACACUCCUUGGCAUUGGAAUGCAGAGUGGGUGGUAAGUUUCAUGCAAAGGUAAAUAUGCAAUUGAGACUGAUAGCGCACAAGUACCAUGAGGGACAUAUGAAAAGGACUUUGAACAGAGAAUUAAAUGAGUUUGUAUUUGCUAAACACAAAGUAAACAGACUUGAUUUCCUCAGUGAGAUUGUAGUGCUUGCUUAACAAUGGGUUUUGGCUGCAAAUGCAAUAAUUAUUGCUUUGUGUGCCCGUUUUUAUGUGGACAUUUGAUUACCUUUGCACAUGAAUGGUAAUUUUCCUGCGGGGUGUGGAUUGCAUAUGCAUGUAAUGAUUUGCAUGUUUGUUAAAUGUGUCUGGUGUAUUUGUUUGUGUCCUUGUCCUUGAGGUUGCUUUCUCCCUUGGGCUUACAUGCCCUGGCACACACAUUCUGGCAAAAUGCUUCUGCUUGACCCG